UAGGGAAUCUUCGGCAAUGGGGGGAACCCUGACCGAGCAACGCCGCAUGAGUGAAGAAGGUUUUCGGAUCGUAAAGCUCUGUUGUUAAGGAAGAACGAGUGUGAGAAUGGAAAGUUCAUGCUGUGACGAUACUUAACCAGAAAGGGACGGCUAACUACGUGCCAGCAGCCGCGGUAAUACGUAGGUCCCGAGCGUUGUCCGGAUUUAUUGGGCGUAAAGCGAGCGCAGGCGGUUAGAAAAGUCUGAAGUGAAAGGCAGUGGCUCAACCAUUGUAGGCUUUGGAAACUGUUUAACUUGAGUGCAGAAGGGGAGAGUGGAAUUCCAUGUGUAGCGGUGAAAUGCGUAGAUAUAUGAAGGAACACCGGUGGCGAAAGCGGCUCUCUGGUCUGUAACUGACGCUGAGGCUCGAAAGCGUGGGGAGCGAACAGG
Molecule: ribosomal RNA, 429 nt
Filed under: Verrucomicrobiota bacterium
Lineage: Bacteria; Pseudomonadati; Verrucomicrobiota
Description: Verrucomicrobia bacterium partial 16S ribosomal RNA
Rfam family: Bacterial small subunit ribosomal RNA
Source: RNAcentral